UACGUAGGGUGCAAGCGUUAAUCGGAAUUACUGGGCGUAAAGCGUGCGCAGGCGGUUGUGCAAGACCGAUGUGAAAUCCCCGGGCUUAACCUGGGAAUGGCAUUGGUGACUGCACGGCUAGAGUGUGUCAGAGGGGGGUAGAAUUCCACGUGUAGCAGUGAAAUGCGUAGAGAUGUGGAGGAAUACCGGUGGCGAAGGCGGCAUCCUGGACCGGCAUUGACGCUGAGGCGCGAAAGCCAGGGGAGCAAACGGG
RNAcentral lists this ribosomal RNA (253 nucleotides) under uncultured bacterium. RNAcentral describes it as "partial 16S ribosomal RNA". It matches the Rfam family "Bacterial small subunit ribosomal RNA", at positions 524 to 776 of the family's 1533-position model. The record is from RNAcentral.